AUUUGAUGUGUAACAAACUGCUGGGAAAUUCAGCAUGCCACUUUGAUCUCUCUGAUGUCACUCAAGAGGAACUGAAGUAGUAGAAUGGGAUCAUACCUCUGAAACUGGAGUAGAAAGAAGAUAUUAGUUAUCAUAAUGUGCAUGAACUUGGACUUCAAUGUAAAAUUUAUAAAGAAGAUACAAAUGAAUGGUUUCUACUAAAUAAGGGCUAAGAGGUACAGGCAGAGUCAGAAGGAGUGCAGGAACCGAAUGGAUCAGCACUACAGCUCUUUUGUGGGGAACUUGGGUACUUUAGCCAAGAGGGCUGGCAGUUUGGUACAUCCCACAAACAUCAAAGUCAUGGGAUGGGACUCGUUUGUGUUGCUUACAUCAUAUGCUGGAUUUAGACGACCUCCAGUGUUACCAUGGCAACGGUUUCUGCUUAAGUAUAGGUGAGAAUGUAAGUUAAUUUUAAAUAAGGUGAAAUGAAGGAGGGGGUGAAUAAAGCUCUCAAAAGCAUUUGAAGCCA
Molecule: long non-coding RNA, 508 nt
Filed under: Cyanistes caeruleus (blue tit)
Lineage: Eukaryota; Metazoa; Chordata; Aves; Passeriformes; Paridae
Description: lncRNA (ENSCCEG00000014966.1)
Source: RNAcentral